CCGGUUGCCGGCGACCGGCGCACGGGUGAGUAACACGUAUGCAACCUGCCCGUGGCAGGGGGAUAAGCGGGGGAAACCCGUCUAAUACCGCGUAACGCGGCCUAGGGACAUCCCAAGGCCGCCAAAGGGAGCAAUCCCGGCCACGGAUGGGCAUGCGGCGCAUUAGCUAGUCGGCGGGGUAACGGCCCACCGAGGCGACGAUGCGUAGGGGUUCUGAGAGGAAGGCCCCCCACACUGGUACUGAGACACGGACCAGACUCCUACGGAAGGCAGCAG
Molecule: ribosomal RNA, 276 nt
Filed under: uncultured bacterium
Lineage: Bacteria
Description: partial 16S ribosomal RNA
Rfam family: Bacterial small subunit ribosomal RNA
Source: RNAcentral